AUUGAACGCUGGCGGCAGGCUUAACACAUGCAAGUCGAACGGUAACAUAAAGAAGCUUGCUUCUUUGAUGACGAGUGGCGGACGGGUGAGUAAUGCUUGGGAAUCUAGCUUAUGGAGGGGGAUAACUACGGGAAACUGUAGCUAAUACCGCGUAAUAUCGAAAGAUUAAAGUGUGGGACCUUCGGGCCGCAUGCCAUAAGAUGAGCCCAAGUGGGAUUAGGUAGUUGGUGAGGUAAAGGCUCACCAAGCCGACGAUCUCUAGCUGGUCUGAGAGGAUGACCAGCCACACUGGGACUGAGACACGGCCCAGACUCCUACGGGAGGCAGCAGUGGGGAAUAUUGCGCAAUGGGGGCAACCCUGACGCAGCCAUGCCGCGUGAAUGAAGAAGGCCUUCGGGUUGUAAAGUUCUUUCGGUAGCGAGGAAGGCAUUUAGUUUAAUAGACUAGGUGAUUGACGUUAACUACAGAAGAAGCACCGGCUAACUCCGUGCCAGCCGCCGCCGUAAGAC
RNAcentral lists this ribosomal RNA (509 nucleotides) under uncultured bacterium. RNAcentral's name for it is "bacterial SSU rRNA". It matches the Rfam family "Bacterial small subunit ribosomal RNA", at positions 30 to 526 of the family's 1533-position model. The record is from RNAcentral.